UAAAUUUCUAACCCUCUUACAGUUCCUUCUGGCUAUAAGAGUCUGUGAUCUUGGCAAGUGACAGACCCCUAUGGCUAAUGAAUCACAACUCAAAUGAGUAUCAAGUUCCCAGCUGAUAUGUGAAAAGGAACUCGGUGAGAAGAAUCAAUGACUUUAUAUCAAUCAUAUGAAAAGAAAUAAAAGUUUAUGGUUCAUAUUAUGUUACUUUCUUUUACCUGAGAAUGCUAAAACUUUUUUUUAAAACUAUAUAUAUGAAAUACUUGUGACAACUGAAUAGUAAGAGAUUUUAUCUGAUAUUAUUUUAGAAAGUGGAAAUAAUUACUUCAAAGGAUAAAGAGUAGAAGGUUUUAAUAAAACUUGCUUACCUUUUGGGGGGAUGGGGUGGGGGAAAUGUCUCAGUGCCCAAAGUCAGUGGCCUUCCUGACUGAAGGCUUUCCAAGAGUAGAGAGUGAGAGUAGAAACAGGAAUAGCAGUUUAAAGUUGUCUUCGUAAUGUUUGGUGAAUGAUUGAUUCCUUCAGAAGCAAACAAGCACAUGGUAAAAAUAUUGGGAAUGUUGAUUUCGUAUUGUUAUUGUCAUUUUUUAAAUUAACUAUGAUUUUGCUUAGAGAUAGUAGUCAGAAUAGUAGUAUAUUUAUAAUAAUGAGCCUCUUAGGGUUGCUGGUUUGGUGUUUCAAAGUUUUUCAAUUAUCUGUAAUAAACUUUGAAAGAUAUCUUGUGUAAAACUCCAUUUUAAAUUAUGUAGAAUUGAGAUACAUUAUUUAGGCUAAACAAAGUAAGUGUGUUUGUCAUGAUUCUAUAAAUUGAUCUUAUUUGAUAUCAAAUAUUUUAAUUCAUGAAUGUGGUAUGAUAAAAUUUGUUAAAAAUAUUAGGCACACGUAUUUCCAUUGUAUUUAAAUUACCAUCUGGCCUAUUCAAAAUUAACAGGGAGAGCCUAGAUUGAUUUUGAUCAAAGAGGUCUAGAAAUCAAUACCUUUUGUAAGAGAAUUGGAACACAGAGUCAUUUCUUACUUUCAUUCUGCUACCCAAGAUGAAGCUGGAUCACAGAUUGCUGUAGACAUUUUUAAAUAACUCCCUUGAUCCCUCCCCUUCCACACACUUUUCUCUACUGUAUUCACAGAGAAUUCUUUACAUAUUUACAGUUCUAGAGGAUAAAAUGACUCUCCAAGAGUUAACUUCAAUUACACAUUGGUGGGCAGUAACUGAGCUCUGAGUGACAAUCAGAACUAUAUGUCAAAAAUGCCACCUUCUCUCUUACUAAUGCUGACUUAGCAAAAACAGAGGGAAUUUAGGGCAAGUCAGAAUUCUUGUUUCAUUGUCCUAUUUUCAGUAAUAGAAUUUAGGACAACUUAGAAUUUUUUCUCCUGCCCUAUUUUAUUGCAUGUAUGUUUAUUCAUAUUCAGCAAAAGGAAUCCCAAUUUUACGCUUUGGUGUCUUCAUAUUAAAAAAAUACUAUUACCAAUUAAUUUAAUUUUAAAAUUAGCAUAUCUGGCUAAAGAUAUUAGAAAAAAUUUAUCAACUGAACAAAAUUUUUAAAUGACUCACAGUUCCACUGGCAAAGGAAUAAACUCUGCUUUUAGUAAACUCUUGAAAUGUUCCUUUGAAAUAUGCUUAGUUUUUAAUGUUCAUUUGAUUGAUUGUGAUCCUAAUACAUAUAUGCCUUUUUGUUAUUCAUUUUUAUAUCAUAACCUCUAUUUUCAUUAUUAUAAAUUUUAUAGUAAUAAUAUGUUAGAUAAUUUCUAAUCCAUGGUGGGAAUGUCCCUCAUUUAUUUGACCUUCUAUGUGUUAAAAAUUCAUUCUUUUUAAUAUCUAUGUAUUACAGUGAUGUGUUACUUCUUAUUUUUGUCUUCCCUCCAUUUGUAUUAAUUUAGCCAAAAAUAAACUCCCAGAAAUAAAAUCAAUUUGACAAAUUUUAGGAAUAUUUAUAGGCUGUAAUGUAGAGCAUAUUGGGAUGCACAUAUUGUUUAGGAGUUUGGGGAGAAGUAAAAAUAAAAUAAAAAUGAUU
Molecule: non-coding RNA, 2003 nt
Organism: Saimiri boliviensis boliviensis (Bolivian squirrel monkey)
Lineage: Eukaryota; Metazoa; Chordata; Mammalia; Primates; Cebidae
Source: RefSeq, a predicted model, not a curated record